AGGACGAACGCUGGCGGCGUGCUUAACACAUGCAAGUCGAGCGGUAAGGCCUUUCGGGGUACACGAGCGGCGAACGGGUGAGUAACACGUGGGUGAUCUGCCCUGCACUUCGGGAUAAGCCUGGGAAACUGGGUCUAAUACCGGAUAUGACCUCCUAUCGCAUGGUGGGUGGUGGAAAGAUUUAUCGGUGCAGGAUCGGGCCCGCGGCCUAUCAGCUUGUUGGUGGGGUAAUGGCCUACCAAGGCGAGA
Molecule: ribosomal RNA, 249 nt
Filed under: uncultured soil bacterium
Lineage: Bacteria
Description: partial 16S ribosomal RNA
Rfam family: Bacterial small subunit ribosomal RNA
Source: RNAcentral